GCUUAUGGCCAUACCACCCUCAGCACGCCCGAUCUCGUCUGAUCUCGGAAGCUAGGCAGGUUGGGCUUGGUUAGUACUUGGAUGGGAGACCGCCUGGAAAACCAGGUGCUGUAAGCU
Ribosomal RNA from Oreochromis aureus, 117 nucleotides. The record is from Ensembl. Lineage: Eukaryota; Metazoa; Chordata; Actinopteri; Cichliformes; Cichlidae.